CAAGACGAAGAAUUGGAAGACAAGGAAGAGGGAAAUUCGUUGGACAAGUCGAAUUUCAUGCAUCCCGAAAAGUCCCGUAUAAUUCUGGCAGAGUACACUAUUUGGCUUAUUACUUUCUCAUCUGAAGUCCAAUUAAGGUGAUUCGAAUUGCUACAGAAAGCCAACUUAAAAAUCUAAAACUUUGCUGUUUUGAUCCGAGAGAGAUUCGGAGUGGAAGAGGUCAGAAAUCGAGCUUGAAGUGAAGACACGUGCACAGCCAAAUGUCUACUCGAGUUAUGAAGAAUGUUCGUGUCGUCGACUUGAUAUUUGGAGUUUAGAUUUUAUUAAAUUACGUUUUUUAUAUUAGGUUUAAUAUAUUUAUAUUAUUUAAGAGUUAGU
This 378-nucleotide long non-coding RNA is filed under the name Erythranthe guttata (spotted monkey flower). Its description in RNAcentral is "long non-coding RNA (EGUT_LNC000463)". Lineage: Eukaryota; Viridiplantae; Streptophyta; Magnoliopsida; Lamiales; Phrymaceae. The record is from RNAcentral.